RNAcentral lists this ribosomal RNA (460 nucleotides) under uncultured bacterium. Its description in RNAcentral is "partial 16S ribosomal RNA". It matches the Rfam family "Bacterial small subunit ribosomal RNA", at positions 338 to 795 of the family's 1533-position model. The record is from RNAcentral.
CCUACGGGGGGCUGCAGUGAGGAAUAUUGGUCAAUAGACGAGAGUCUGAACCAGCCAAGUAGCGUGAAGGAUGACUGCCCUAUGGGUUGUAAACUUCUUUUAUAUGGGAAUAAAACAGGGUAUGCAUACCCUCUUGUAUGUACCAUAUGAAUAAGGAUCGGCUAACUCCGUGCCAGCAGCCGCGGUAAUACGGAGGAUCCGAGCGUUAUCCGGAUUUAUUGGGUUUAAAGGGAGCGUAGGUGGAUUGUUAAGUCAGUUGUGAAAGUUUGCGGCUCAACCGUAAAAUUGCAGUUGAAACUGGCAGUCGUGAGUACAGUAGAGGUGGGCGGAAUUCGUGGUGUAGCGGUGAAAUGCUUAGAUAUCACGAAGAAAUCCGAUUGCGAAGGCAGAUCACUGGACUGCAACUGACACUGAUGCUCGAAAGUGUGGGUAUCAAACAGGAUUAGAUACCCCAGUAGUC